GUUCUUUCUUCUUCCAGCCUCGUUCUUCUUCUUUCCCAUCGCCGCUGCUGCUUCGUCCACCGUUCAGCCUCUGUCCGCCGUUCGUCCCUAGUCAGUGAGUUCUCAUCGUCCGUCGUUUGUCCCUAGUAAGUGAGUUCUCAGCGUCCUUCGUUCGUCCACUGUCACCGAGUUCUCGCUUCGCCGCCAUUCGUCCCACCGCUUCGCCGUUCGUCCCACCGCUUCGCCACCGUCUGGUAACUUCUUCUUCCUUCAUCUUCAUCCUUCAUUUCGACCACACCACCACCGAUUCCGCAACGUACACCCUGUGUAUUCGUAACUCCCUCCGUCGUGGUGAAUUCUACAUGCCUAGAUCCCUCCGUUGCGACCAAUCCCUCAUUCACUGUCCGAUUUCGACCACAUCACCGAUUCUGCGACGAUACUCCCUCGGUAUCUGUAACUCUCUCCGUCGCGGUGAAAAUUCCCUCCGUCAAGUGUAUCUAGAACAAGGCUGGUAAACUAAUUGAUUUUUCCUCUGUUAAUCCAGUUAUCUUCAAGUUGAGGAAGAUAUGAAACAGGAUCUCAUCGACUAUUCUGCCUCUGUUUGUAAACCAGAGGAAAAAUGAAGAAUAUUCAUUAUGGAUGUUGAACAAAGACCAACCAAUGAUAACUCUCUCGCUCUCAACCUCGAACAUGAUCCACAGUAUCCCAAAUGAUUCUUACGAGAUGUUUCUAUUGCUCAUGUUAUUGACCAGGAUUCAUGGCAACAAGUGGGGUUGAUGUUAGUGACAGGUUUCAAUUGCGGUUGGAUAUUCAAUUUCUCGAACUGAUUAAGGUUCCACUUGGUUGGACUUUGGGUGUUAUAUUGCUUUUUGUUGUUGGAUUAUACACAGCUUAUGCUAAUUGGCUAUUGGUAGAUUUUUAUUUCAUUGAUGGAAUGAGAUUCCUCAGAUACAGAGAUCUCGUGGGAUUUGCUUAUGAGAAGGAAACAACAUAACACUAAUGAUUGUGGAUACUAUGUGAUGAAAAAUAUGUUGGAUAUUGUCUCUGCCAAUAUAACUGAAUCUUGGAUGCAGGUAUUUAAUGAUCCUACAGAAUUGACACAAGAAUUGAUACAAGAAGAUUUGUAUGAUUUGCGACUCCGUUGGGCAAAAUGUUUCUUUGAGUUAUAUAAAGAAUAACUUUAUGUUUCUCGUGGAUGCGUGUUGGUUUUUCAAGUGCGCGAAAGAACUUAAAUGGUUGAAUAUUUGUUAUGUUAUUAUCUUGUAGUAGAAA
Vicia villosa (hairy vetch) is the source of this 1251-nucleotide long non-coding RNA. RefSeq lists it as uncharacterized. Lineage: Eukaryota; Viridiplantae; Streptophyta; Magnoliopsida; Fabales; Fabaceae. The transcript is spliced from 5 exons. The record is from RefSeq and is a predicted model, not a curated record.